This 468-nucleotide ribosomal RNA is filed under the name uncultured bacterium. RNAcentral's name for it is "partial 16S ribosomal RNA". It matches the Rfam family "Bacterial small subunit ribosomal RNA", at positions 28 to 507 of the family's 1533-position model. The record is from RNAcentral.
GACGAACGCUGGCGGCGUGCUUAACACAUGCAAGUCGAACGGAAAGGCCCUGCUUUUGUGGGGUGCUCGAGUGGCGAACGGGUGAUUAACACGUGAGUAACCUGCCCUUGACUUUGGGAUAACUUCAGGAAACUGGGUCUAAUACCGGAUAGGAGCUCCUGCUGCAUGGUGGGGGUUGGAAAGUUUCGGCGGUUGGGGAUGGACUCGCGGCUUAUCAGCUUGUUGGUGGGGUAGUGGCUUACCAAGGCUUUGACGGGUAGCCGGCCUGAGAGGGUGACCGGCCACAUUGGGACUGAGAUACGGCCCAGACUCCUACGGGAGGCAGCAGUGGGGAAUAUUGCACAAUGGGCGGAAGCCUGAUGCAGCAACGCCGCGUGCGGGAUGACGGCCUUCGGGUUGUAAACCGCUUUCGCCUGUGACGAAGCGUGAGUGACGGUAAUGGGUAAAGAAGCACCGGCUAACUACGUG